AAUUAGUUAAGGAAAUCAAGAGGCAGAAAGUAAUAUUUAAAUACGUUACGUACAGAAGGAACAGCAGGGUGGAAAUCAUGUUUACAAGUUGUUGCAAUAGCUUGUGCAACUAAGGAUGCCCAGAGGCCCAAAUCCUAAACCUUUACUCCCGUAAGAAAGGACGAUGGUAGGGACCUCAACAGAACUUUGGUCAUGAGAAGCCUGUUUGCAAAGCUGGACUUCUGAUAUUUCGUGCAAGACUGUUUUGCACGUUUUCUGCACAAUUAUAAUUUGAGCAUAUUACUACAAAUUUAAUAACGGAUUUCUACUACACCAAGAUAACAAUCCUGCAAUUAGGGGAGAUGGAAAAUCAAAACAACCGUUGAACUCCAGAAAGAUCAAGGAUGUCAGUCCAAUCAUCCCUCGUUUACACUGCUGAUCUAGACGACAGAGUAUUGACAAAACCUUGUCUCCUAGGAAACAUCAUGGAGAUGAAAAAAAACAAGUCAGCUCAUAAAACUUCUCUGCACAUUGUCAGUCCAAAGCUUGCAACAAUAUUUAAAGUAAUGUCAGGGUUACUAAAUGUUUGGGAGUUUGAAGCUAGCUGAUGUGAACUAUAGCCAUUUCCUAAUUCACCCUAUUCUACUUUUGAUCAUCACUACAGCAGUCGACGUGUCCAAAGUGUUGUGGUUCAAAAAUAGAUCUAUGCUACUCAAAGCUUACAAGCAGGGCCAGACACAGGCAUGGGCUAACCAGGCGGUUGCCUGGGGCCCGAACAGAAAGGGGGCCCAAAAAAUGAAAAUGAAAUGAAAGUGAUUACAGGCAGUCCAACUUGCAUCGUUUCAAGUUACAAUGUUUCGCACUUACAACAUUUAUGAAUUGACACCCAGUUUCAACUUUAUGAUGUCAGUUUCAACUUUACAAUGCUUGAUCCGAUGUGAUGCCAUGCCAGCAAACAAGUUCACUGCAUCACUCAUCUCCUUGGAGAACAUCUGUCCAAACUUCCUUGGACGCUUUUUUGAAGAAAGCAGACAAGACUCCAGAAAAACCUAUAGCCAAGACUCCUGAGAAGACUCCAGCCAAGAACCCUUCAAAAAGUCCAGCAAAGUCACCUCAAAGAAGUCCUUCCAAAUCAAUAUAAUUGCUAUUUACAAUAUAAAUACGUUAAUGUAGCUAUAUUACUCAUCUAUAAUUGAUCAGGUACAAAAUUCUGGGGUAUUUUUGGUGAAAAUAGAGCAUCAGGCCUUGGUUCAGGAACCAAUCCACCAUUCAUAACAUUGUUUCUUAUGAAAAAAUUGGUUCCAAGUUACGUUUCGACUUAAGACGUGGUUUUCAGGAACCAAUUGCAUUGUUAAGUCCGAGGACUGCCUGUAUUAUUAUCAUUAUCUAUGGCAAAGGGAGGGCCGAUACUAAAAGUUCACCCGGGGCCUCCAGGAGUCUAGGUACGGUGCUGCUUCUAAGCCAGAAUGAAACAGACCUACAAGAUAGUGGUGCAUGGAGAACAACUACGUUAUACGUGAAAUGCUAGAGAUCAGUUUUCUUAGCACAAUCCUUCAUUCUGGUCUAGGUACUUGGGACUACAUAGAUAAAGUCUACUAUGCAAUGAAUGGAAACAUUUAAGAGAAGUGCCACUGCAAAGCAGUAGGUGUAACUUGCUAGCAAACAACUUGGGGAGCUGGUGUUACAAUGUUCUUUAACAGUGCCAGCCUCUUCCAUUCCAACAACCAAGAUAAUCUUUCCUCUGGGAAGAGUUACCACUAUUAAGUAGUUCUAGGAUUUGCUGCAGUAUCUGUAUAUAUAUAUAUAUAUAUAUAUAUAUAUAUAGCUAUUGUCCAAGUUAAGACAAGAUACAAACAGGUGGAUAUGAACAGAUGGGGAAGCACACGGAAAGAAGUUGAUUACAAAACGUAAAAAGCAAUGAUCACAGUGUACCAGCUGCCUUGCCACAGUUAACAACAGCCCUUUUUUUUUGUUGGCAUCACAGCAGAGGAAAUUUUUAAAGGGAAGAUUUAGAAGAAAAGCAAUGUGGCAGUGUUGUGGAAGGAGCUUUUUGGUCAGGUCCAAGAACAGCAAGAGCAUGGGAAAUAUUUUGUUGCCUGCUGAAAUUUUGACAAAAAUAUUUUCCUGCAGUUAUUCCCUAUUUACCUUUGUGCACACUGGGCUAGAACUUGGCACUGAUGCCAGCACUCCCAGGCCUGCCACUGCUGCUACUACUUUCUAGUUAUGCUCUAGCGGCAUUUGUAAGAGGUACGAGGAAUUGUUGAACAGGGACAAGAACUGAAUCUGCUUGGUAAACCUGGAUGGAGAAACACAGUUCCCUUUAUUAAAACUCCUCUUUAAACAGUGUAAUCAAUAUAAAAGAGGAGAAAAGGUGAGUAUCCUUUCUUAAAUAUUUCAAUACGAAACCUGUCCAAAAAUCUUCCAUGCUUUUAGGAACUAUAUGAGCCACAAGCAAGUGAACUGUGCAUUCAGAGAUAUGAAAAGCUGCUAUAAUACAGUCUUCACUGAUUAAAAGAGGG
Alligator mississippiensis (American alligator) is the source of this 2498-nucleotide long non-coding RNA. RefSeq lists it as uncharacterized. NCBI's taxonomy places the organism in Eukaryota, Metazoa, Chordata, Crocodylia, Alligatoridae. The record is from RefSeq and is a predicted model, not a curated record. The transcript has 3 exons.